GUGGCGGACGGGUGAGUAACGCGUAGGAACAUAUCCAGUGGUGGGGGACAACGUUGGGAAACUGACGCUAAUACCGCAUGAGCCCUUAGGGGGAAAGCAGCGAUGCGCCGAUGGAGUGGCCUGCGUACGAUUAGCUUGUUGGUGGGGUAACGGCCUACCAAGGCUUCGAUCGUUAGCUGGUCUGAGAGGACGAUCAGCCACAUUGGGACUGAGACACGGCCCAAACUCCUACGGGAGGCAGCAGUGGGGAAUAUUGGACAAUGGGCGCAAGCCUGAUCCAGCAAUGCCGCGUGUGUGAAGAAGGUCUUCGGAUUGUAAAGCACUUUCAGCGGGGACGAUGAUGACGGUACCCGCAGAAGAAGCCCCGGCUAACUUCGUGCCAGCAGCCGCGGUAAUACGAAGGGGGCUAGCGUUGCUCGGAAUGACUGGGCGUAAAGGGUGCGUAGGCGGCGGUGUAAGUCAGACGUGAAAGUCCUGGGCUCAACCUGGGAACUGCGUUUGAGACUGCAUGGCUAGAGGAUGGAAGAGGCUCGUGGAAUUCCCAGUGUAGAGGUGAAAUUCGUAGAUAUUGGGAAGAACACCGGUGGCGAAGGCGGCGAGCUGGUCCAUUACUGACGCUGAGGCACGAUAGC
RNAcentral lists this ribosomal RNA (632 nucleotides) under uncultured Acetobacteraceae bacterium. RNAcentral describes it as "bacterial SSU rRNA". It matches the Rfam family "Bacterial small subunit ribosomal RNA", at positions 95 to 760 of the family's 1533-position model. The record is from RNAcentral. Lineage: Bacteria; Pseudomonadati; Pseudomonadota; Alphaproteobacteria; Acetobacterales; Acetobacteraceae.